This 3786-nucleotide long non-coding RNA is filed under the name Medicago truncatula (barrel medic). RNAcentral's name for it is "long non-coding RNA (MTRU_LNC005125)". The record is from RNAcentral. Lineage: Eukaryota; Viridiplantae; Streptophyta; Magnoliopsida; Fabales; Fabaceae.
CAGAUAGCAACUCGGGAAAAACCCAUUUUUCACCCCAAAAUUCUAAUUUUAACUUCCCUAUGCCCAAAUUUGAUCCCAAAGUUUGUCUAAACAUUUAUAUACAUCAAAAGAGACUCAAAAUCAUAUAAAACUUGACCCAAAACAUUAUUUUAAAAAAUCAUCAAAUAAUCAAUUUUAACCCUAAAUCCCAAAUUCUCAAAACUAAAACUUACAACAUAUUAAAUUCAAUUUUCAGAAUCAAUGACUUAAGAUUAUUGAAUGUUAGUCCCACCUUUAUCUUGGAUUGAUCGACGAAGGACUCUACCGCUUUCUCUUCUUUAAAAGGAUAUUAAACCGAAGAGGGAUUAUGGUCUUAAGAACACAUUUAAUUCCGAAGGGACAGAAAGGAGUAGAAAAAGAAAAAAGACUCGUCAACACAAGUCAAAAGAGGGAGAAGAGAAGAAAAGCACACGAAGCAUCAACUGUGAAUUUCGGUGUGUAGAAUGCACUGUGUGAGUUCUCUAUUUAUAGAGAUAGUUUACAACUAAUAAGUGAGAAACUUUUGAAACAACUAAUGCACCUAUUAGAUCUAGUAAUUAAAUAUAUCAAUUGAGUACCAAAAUAUAUUAUAUUAAGUACAAAAAUAUAUUAUUCAGUACAGAAAUAUAUUAGAUUGCCUACCAAAAUCUCAAUAUUCUAUUCUAAUAUAUAUAUAAAAUAUUUAUAUAACAAAUAACAAUUAUAUCUCUAUAACAAAUAUAUUUCUAUAACAUAUAUAUAUUUCUACACCAAAUAAGAAAUAUAUUUCUACACCAUAUAACAUAUAUUUCUGCACAAAAUAACAUAUAUUUCUACAACAAAUAACAUAUAUAUAUUUCUACAACAAAUCAUACAUAUUUCUACAACAAAUCAUAUAUAUUUCUACAACAAAUAACAUAAUAUUUCUUCACCAAAUAACAUAUAUUUCUACACAAAAUAACAUAUAUUUUUACAACAAAUCAUAUAUAUAUUUCUACAAAAAAUCAUAUAUAUUUCUACUACGAAUAACAUAUAACUUAACAAAAUAUCACCCAUCUAAUUUCCAAAACAGCCCCCUCAACUUUAAUCUUAUUUUAUUUUCAAAUCAUAUUCCAUUAAAUAAUAGAAUAAGCCACUUAAUAAAUCACAUAAUCAUAUAAAUAUAUUCUAAACUUAUUAAAAUAAUCAAAUAAUUAAAGAGGGCGUUACAACUCUCCCCCCUUAAAAGAAUUUCGUCCUCGAAAUUCAAAGCACACAAGAAUAAAUUCAAUUAUUGCAUAACCAUAAUAAACCAUAUAUAGUUAAAUAGAACCUUUCAACAAAACACGCAAACUACAUCAAAGUUAGUCAAUCAAACAUGAUCACAUAAUAAACAUAACUAUUAAUCAGAAACACAACAACAACCAAUCAAACAACAUAAAGACAGUAAUACAACUAUUACUUGACACAACUCGACUCAACUACUUGGUCGGACGGACCGACUUGCUCUGAUACCAAUUGUAACAUCCGGUUUUCCCAACAUAAAAAUUUCAUAAAAAUAAUCAGAGUAUUCACAUAAACAGAAUGUCACAUUCUUUUCUUAAAAUCAUAAACUGAAUGAAUAACUAUUUAUCCUUUAAAAUUCAAUAACAAAACAGUCUUUGGCACGAAGGCCUCUUCAUAAAUGUCUCAUAAAAAUCCAAGCUAAAAAUAUAGUCAUAAAUCUUCAAAAGCAUUACGUAAGGAAGAGAAAAGCAAUAACAAAGUUCCCAUCCCGUUACGUAUCAGAGCACCUAAGACACACGAGAGAGUAACUUCACACGACAUCGACUAUUCUUGGUUACUUGCAAGUUACUCAUACGAACAUUUUCAAGCAGAAGGGGUGAGAUUUCACAAAACAAUAAUAUCAAGCAUAUAAUUCAUUAAUUAUAUUUAACAACAUAAAUAAUUUCCUCUAUUAAUAAUAAUAAUCCUUCAUGUAAUAAUUCUUAAUAACUCAACCAACUUCUAAUUAUCAAUUCAUGAAUAAAAGACAACUUAUCAACUUAACAUAACCAUCAUCAAGUACAUUUAACAACUCAUAGAUAACAUCAUGUAAUCAUCAUCACUAAUAACUUAAACAACACAAUAUAAUCAUCAUCUUAUAAUAAUAUAUCAACAACUAUUCAUCAUCUUAUAAUAACAACAUAUUCAUCAUCUUAUAAAAAUAUACAACAACAUAUUCAUCAUCUUAUAAAAAUAUAACAACAACAUAACGUAAUAUUCACUUAAUAAUAAUAAUCAUAUCUAAUACAACAUAAUCAUCACUUAAUAAUAAUAAUUAUAUACAAUACAACAUAAACAUUAUCUUAAUAAUAACAUCACAUAAUAAUCAGUAUCAUAAACAACAUCAUAACAAAAUAACAAUAUCAUAAUCAAUAUCAUAGAUAACAUAGCAACAUCUUAGUCAACAUCAUAUAAUUCACAUCAUAUAAUCUUCAUAGGUACUUCUUUAACAACACAUGGGUAGAAGACAACUCAACAACUCAUAGAUGAUAAUUCAUCAACAACUUAACAACUCAUGGAUGAUAAUUCAUCAACAACGACUUUGACUCGACAAAUUCAACUCCAACUCGACUAUGCAACUUAGACCUCUUAUAUGCAUAUGGUAUCAAUUCAGGGCAUGAGCCCCCAACAUCAUAGUAUUAAUAUACUUUUAAGGCAUCGUGGUGAGGACAAAGUUCAAAUCGUGGUGAGGACAAAGCUCAAUUCGUAUCGUGGUGAGGACAAAGUUCAAUUCGUGGUGAGGACAAAGCUCAAAUUGUAAUCAACAACAACUUAAACAUCGUACAUUUUCCACAUAAGCCAUAUAAAUAUUUCACAUAACCAACAACAGCAACAUAGGCAGCACAUAAAUAUCUCAAGACAUAACAACAUCAAAUGAUAAUCAACAACAACUUAAACAUCUUAUAUAAUUCACAUAAUGCAUAUACAAAUAUAUUACAUUACCAUCAACAUCAAAUCAUAUUCAUCAACAUAUACAUUCAUAUAAUAAAUCAUCAAUCAUGAACAACAUUAUGUCUAUAUCUUACAAUAUUCACAUAAUAUAUGUAUCUCAAAUUAUUCAACAAAGAUAUUCACGUCCGAGCAAAUUAGAUCCAUCACAACACAUGUUAAAUACUGUUAAACCCCUUAAUUAAACACCUAGUACUCCUAGUUUUGAGGUUUGGAAUUAUUCCAUAAGUUUUGGAUUAACUUAGAAACAGUUAUGAAAAUCAUUUUAAAGUCAAACCGGCGCCACUGGAAAGCUAACACAAUUAUCUACAACUUUCAUGUUUACACCAAAGGCUAAUUCAAAAGAGAAACGUGUGAAAAAGACGCAAGAACAUGAAACAAGACAUGCUGUCAGAUAGCAACUCGGGAAAAAACCAUUUUUCACCCCAAAAUCCCAAUUUUAACUUCCCUAUGCCCAAAUUUGAUCCCAAAGUUUAUCUAAACAUUUAUAUACAUCAAAAGAGACUCAAAAUCAUAUAAAACAUGACCCAAAAUAUUAUUUUAGAAAAUCAUCAAAUAAUCAACUUUAAUCCUAAUUUCCAAAUUCUCAAAACUAAAACUUACAACAUAUUAAAUCCAAUUUUCAGAAUCAAUGACUUAAGAUUAUUGAAUGUUAGUCUCACCCUUACCUUGGAUUGAUCGACGAAGGACUCUACCGCUUUCUCUUCUCUAAAAGGAUAUUAAACCGAAGAGGGAUUAUGGUCUUAAGAACACUUUUAAUUCCGAAGGGACAGAAAGGAGUAGAAAAAGAAGAAAGACUCGUCAACACAAGUCAAA